RNAcentral lists this microRNA (23 nucleotides) under Cochliomyia macellaria (secondary screw-worm). Its description in RNAcentral is "mature cma-miR-278-5p". The record is from RNAcentral. Lineage: Eukaryota; Metazoa; Arthropoda; Insecta; Diptera; Calliphoridae. RNAcentral also lists the same sequence under 1 other name.
CCGGAUGAUGGUCCUCAACGACC